UACGUAGGUGGCAAGCGUUGUCCGGAUUUAUUGGGCGUAAAGGGAGCGCAGGCGGUGACUUAAGUCUGAUGUGAAAGCCCACGGCUCAACCGUGGAAGGUCAUUGGAAACUGGGUCACUUGAAUAUAGAAGAGGAAAGUGGAAUUCCAUGUGUAGCGGUGAAAUGCGUAGAUAUAUGGAGGAACACCAGUUGCGAAGGCGACUUUCUGGUCUAUUAUUGACGCUGAGGCUCGAAAGCAUGGGUAGCAAACAGGAUUAGAUACCCG
This 265-nucleotide ribosomal RNA is filed under the name uncultured prokaryote. Its description in RNAcentral is "partial 16S ribosomal RNA". It matches the Rfam family "Bacterial small subunit ribosomal RNA", at positions 524 to 788 of the family's 1533-position model. The record is from RNAcentral.